UUGAAAGGGAAACGAUUGAAGUCAGUCAUGCCGGCGGGAAUCAACUUAGGGGAAACUUUAAGUGCACUUCACGCUUGGCGGGUCAGCAUCGAUUUUGGAUGUCAUAAAAUGACUGGGGGAAGGUAGCUCCUUCGGGAGUGUUAUAGCCCUUGGUAGAUGUGAUGUCUGGGAUCGAGGAUUGCAACGGAUACCCUUUGGGCUAGCCGCCUGAUCUCUAACUGGUGUUGGGUUACGGACAGCAUGCUGACCGUGAUUUAAUUACUGGUUAAAAGGUUAGAGCGAGUGUAAAUUCGUUAAGGAUGUUGACGUA
RNAcentral lists this ribosomal RNA (310 nucleotides) under uncultured Glomeromycotina. RNAcentral describes it as "partial large subunit ribosomal RNA". Lineage: Eukaryota; Fungi; Glomeromycota. The record is from RNAcentral.